Molecule: ribosomal RNA, 424 nt
Filed under: uncultured bacterium
Lineage: Bacteria
Description: bacterial SSU rRNA
Rfam family: Bacterial small subunit ribosomal RNA
Source: RNAcentral
ACUCCUACGGGAGGCAGCAGUGGGGAAUAUUGCACAAUGGGCGAAAGCCUGAUGCAGCCAUGCCGCGUGUGUGAAGAAGGCCUUCGGUUGUAAAGCACUUUCAGCGAGGAGGAAAGGUUGGCGGUUAAUACCCGUCAGCUGUGACGUUACUCGCAGAAGAAGCACCGGCUAACUCCGUGCCAGCAGCCGCGGUAAUACGGAGGGUGCGAGCGUUAAUCGGAAUUACUGGGCGUAAAGCGCAUGCAGGCGGCCAAGUCAGUCAGAUGUGAAAGCCCCGGGCUUAACCUGGGAAUUGCAUUUGAUACUGCUUGGCUAGAGUCCUUGAGAGGGGGUAGAAGUUUCAGGUGUAGCGGUGAAAUGCGUAGAGAUCUGAAGGAAUACCAGUGGCGAAGGCGGCCCCCUGGCAAGAGACUGACGCUCAGAU